AUGAAGAUAACACUUAAGAAUAAAAUCUUUGCGUGGUAUCUUCGUCGCAGAGUCAUUCUUACUAAACAUAACCUUAUUAAGAGAAAUUGGCAUGGAAGUACGCAAUGUGUUUUCUGACAGCAUGAUGAGACAAUAAAACACUUGUUCUUCCAAUGUAAAUUGGCUCGUUCUAUAUGGUCAGUCAUCCAAAUAGCUUCUGCCUUGUAUCCUCUUUUAGUGUUGCCAAUAUUUUUGGCAACUGGUUACAUGGGAUAG
Molecule: ribosomal RNA, 255 nt
Filed under: Triticum aestivum (bread wheat)
Lineage: Eukaryota; Viridiplantae; Streptophyta; Magnoliopsida; Poales; Poaceae
Description: partial small subunit ribosomal RNA
Source: RNAcentral